Long non-coding RNA from Aethina tumida (small hive beetle), 343 nucleotides. RefSeq lists it as uncharacterized. The transcript is spliced from 3 exons. Lineage: Eukaryota; Metazoa; Arthropoda; Insecta; Coleoptera; Nitidulidae. The record is from RefSeq and is a predicted model, not a curated record.
GUUUUAUUUCAGAACCAUCAGUUAUCUCUCCAUCUUCUAGAUUCGACAGGAAUGGGUUUAAAUAUUUUUACAUUGUCUAAAAAUACAAUGCUCUGGACAACACAAGAAAUGAACAUAUUAAAACAAUUAUUUGGUGGAACAACAAUCAUUUUUCAAACACCGAAUAUACAAUACACAGAUUUUUAUCAAACUAGAAGAACCUCACAACGAAAAAUGAAAUUUGACAGAAAUAAAUAUAUGUAAACUUUCUAAAGAUCUCUUGAGAUUAUUUCUUCAAAAACCUCUCCAUCAGUCAAAAUUAUGUAAAUCGAUGUAUAUUUUAAAAAUAAAUUAAAUAAAAUUG